AUUGAACGCUGGCGGCAGGCCUAACACAUGCAAGUCGAACGAGUGGCGGACGGGUGAGUAAUGUCUGGGAAACUGCCCGAUGGAGGGGGAUAACUACUGGAAACGGUAGCUAAUACCGCAUACCAUCGGAUGUGCCCAGAGGGGAUUCGCUCGUAGGUGGGGUAACGGCUCACCUAGGCGACGAUCCCUAGCUGGUCUGAGAGGUUGACCAGCAACACUGGAACUGUGACACGGUCCAGACUCUUACGGGAGGCAGCAGUGGGGAAUAUUGCACAAUGGGCGCAAGCCUGAUGCAGCCAUGCCGCGUGUAUGAAGAAGGCCUUCGGGUUGUAAAGUACUUUCAGCGAGGAGGCGUUACUCGCAGAAGAAGCACCGGCUAACUCCGUGCCAGCAGCCGCGGUAAUUC
This 406-nucleotide ribosomal RNA is filed under the name uncultured bacterium. RNAcentral's name for it is "partial 16S ribosomal RNA". It matches the Rfam family "Bacterial small subunit ribosomal RNA", at positions 30 to 526 of the family's 1533-position model. The record is from RNAcentral.